Small nuclear RNA from Dromiciops gliroides (monito del monte), 107 nucleotides. NCBI's taxonomy places the organism in Eukaryota, Metazoa, Chordata, Mammalia, Microbiotheria, Microbiotheriidae. The record is from RefSeq and is a predicted model, not a curated record.
GGGAUCACUUCAGAAGCACAUAUAAUAAAAUUAGAACAAUACAGAGAAGAUUAGCAUGGCCCCUGUGUAAGGAUGACACACAAAUUUGUGAAGAGAUACAGAAGAGG